UGACCUUAAAGGGGACCUACUGACCUGGAAAGCCAUUGUAUCAACAUUGUUUCAAAACAUUAACCAGAUCUAGGGGCUCCUGGAUGGCUCAGUUGGUUAAGCAUCUGACUCUUGAUCUAAGCUCAGGUCAUGAUCUCAGGAUCCUGGGAUUGAGCCCCACAUCGGGCUU
Lutra lutra (Eurasian river otter) is the source of this 169-nucleotide long non-coding RNA. RefSeq lists it as uncharacterized. NCBI's taxonomy places the organism in Eukaryota, Metazoa, Chordata, Mammalia, Carnivora, Mustelidae. The record is from RefSeq and is a predicted model, not a curated record. The transcript has 2 exons.